GUCUAUGGCCAUAUCACUUUGAAUGUGCCCAAUCUCAUCUGGUCUCAGAAGCUAAGCAGGGUUGGGCCUGGUUAGUACUUGGAUGGGAGUCAGAUCUUCAGAGGAGACUGCUUAGAGACA
This 120-nucleotide ribosomal RNA is filed under the name Castor canadensis (American beaver). The record is from RNAcentral. Lineage: Eukaryota; Metazoa; Chordata; Mammalia; Rodentia; Castoridae.